AUUGAACGCUGGCGGCAUGCCUUACACAUGCAAGUCGAACGGUAACAGGUUAAGCUGACGAGUGGCGAACGGGUGAGUAAUAUAUCGGAACGUGCCCAGUCGUGGGGGAUAACUGCUCGAAAGAGCAGCUAAUACCGCAUACGACCUGAGGGUGAAAGCGGGGGAUCGCAAGACCUCGCGCGAUUGGAGCGGCCGAUAUCAGAUUAGGUAGUUGGUGGGGUAAAGGCCUACCAGGCCUACGAUCUGUAGCUGGUCUGAGAGGACGACCAGCCACACUGGGACUGAGACACGGCCCAGACUCCUACGGGAGGCAGCAGUGGGGAAUUUUGGACAAUGGGGGCAACCCUGAUCCAGCCAUGCCGCGUGAGUGAAGAAGGCCUUCGGGUUGUAAAGCUCUUUCGGCCGGGAAGAAAUCGCACAGGCUACUACCCUGUGUGGAUGACGGUACCGGCAUAAGAAGCACCGGCUAACUACGUGCCAGCAGCCGCAGUAA
This 493-nucleotide ribosomal RNA is filed under the name uncultured bacterium. Its description in RNAcentral is "partial 16S ribosomal RNA". It matches the Rfam family "Bacterial small subunit ribosomal RNA", at positions 30 to 523 of the family's 1533-position model. The record is from RNAcentral.